UAUGCAAAGAAAACAUAGCUGUUUCAUAAUAACUACAAUGUCAAUUCAAAUGGAUUUCUUAUUGAGGCUGCAUGUGAAUAUUCUAAUAUUCUAAUAUACAUGAUGAUAUUCAUUAUCCACAAUUUCUGUUCAAAUAUAUACUUGAAAAUUGUGAUUUAAUAGUGUUCAAAAUUGUGAUCAACUCUGUUCAGUGGAUGAUUAAUGAGUUGUGACACUUAAUUAUACUCAUUAACUAUCGAUAAACAUAACUAACCACAUAUUUUGAACUGAACCGCCUUUACUAUUUAAUUUGUUCUCGAAUUUUGAUGUGUCAAAAUAUCAUUUCUCUAAACCUAUGAAGCACAAACACUCCUCAUAUUAGGCGUGACAUGUCCGACACAACACCGACACUUAUGAUUACAUUGAAUUAUGUCAUUUUCUCAAAGUAUCAUCAGUGUCAACAUGUCAGUGUCCAUGUCUGUGCUUCGUAGCUCUAAACAUAUAUACCCCAACCAAUUUUGAAGUAAAAAUCAAGACAAUACAUUGUAUACAAUUAUCUCUCAAAAUAAAAAUCCAAGUGGUAUUAUUCAAAUACCUCAAGAACAAUUGAGUUCUACAUCAUAACAUCAAGAAUUACACAAAAUACACAACAUAUUUUUUUUCUGAUAUAUAAACUUACAUACANNNUAGUAUACCUUGAUUUGUAAGCAAUAACUGAGCUUCCUACAACAGUGAUUGUAGAUGGUGUUGCUGCUGAGGCUGUGGCCAUUUUUAUUAUCUGUGAAAUAUGAGAAAAAGUUUAGAAAAAUAUUGAAUUAAGAAAUGAAAUAGAAAUGUAACAAUAUUGGAGAUAUAGUGUUUAUGAGUGAACCUUUUUUUUGUUGUUGAAAUGUGUGUAGAGUUUGUGGUAAGGGAGUUUUGUAUAUUUUGAUUAAAAGGGGGGAAAGGAUAAGGUAAGAUGAGUAUGGUUGGUUGAUAUAAGAAGAGAAUGUGAUAGAUUUAUUGAGAUUAUAAGUGGCGUAUAACUUUACUUAGAUGUUGGCCAUCAAAUCUAUCUAGCUAUUGGAACCU
Molecule: long non-coding RNA, 1050 nt
Filed under: Trifolium pratense (red clover)
Lineage: Eukaryota; Viridiplantae; Streptophyta; Magnoliopsida; Fabales; Fabaceae
Description: long non-coding RNA (TPRA_LNC000248)
Source: RNAcentral